CGCGCGCGGGCGCCCAACCACUGCUGCAGCCCGCAGGGACCGGAGACGUGCGGAGUCUGUUGUCUGUCGCCUUCGCAGGGCUACAAGCGAACUUUAGGUUUUAACCAAGAAGCAAGAAAGAAGAACUGAUUUUGCCAGGCACACUGAGCUUCCCAUUGUUUCCACUCUUCAGGAUCGAUCUUAGUGCCUUUUCCAUGAAGUCUCCCCUUCUGCUCCCUAGAACUCUGUGGGUGGCUCAGUCCAGGCUGCCCUAGUACAUUUAUUUUUUUGGCUGCUUCCUCUAAUCCAACAGUUAUUUAAAAAUUCCAUUAAGGCAGAUAUAUAAACUUAUUAUAUACUUUCAGUGCCUUGAACAGUCCUUUACAACUCAUAGGUGCUUGUUGACUUAAUUUCAUUUUCAAAAGGAACUUUGAUUUCAAAGGAUGUCAGGAUGUCAAA
Long non-coding RNA from Myotis davidii, 438 nucleotides. RefSeq lists it as uncharacterized. The transcript is spliced from 2 exons. The record is from RefSeq and is a predicted model, not a curated record. NCBI's taxonomy places the organism in Eukaryota, Metazoa, Chordata, Mammalia, Chiroptera, Vespertilionidae.